GCCUGGCUGGCUCAGUCGGUAGACUGUGUGGCUCUUGAUCUUAGGGUCAUGAGUUCAAGCCCCAUGCUGGGCA
Molecule: transfer RNA, 73 nt
Filed under: Felis catus (domestic cat)
Lineage: Eukaryota; Metazoa; Chordata; Mammalia; Carnivora; Felidae
Rfam family: tRNA
About the family: Transfer RNA (tRNA) molecules are approximately 80 nucleotides in length. Their secondary structure includes four short double-helical elements and three loops (D, anti-codon, and T loops).
Source: Rfam by way of RNAcentral